GUGCCAGCCGCCGCGGUAAUACGUAGGUGGCAAGCGUUGUCCGGAUUUAUUGGGCGUAAAGGAUGCGUAGGCGGAUUUUUAAGUGAGAUGUGAAAUCCCCGGGCUUAACUUGGGGGCUGCAUUUCAAACUGGAUGUCUAGAGUGCAGGAGAGGAAAGCAGAAUUCCUAGUGUAGCGGUGAAAUGCGUAGAGAUUUGGAAGAAAACCAGUGGCGAAGGCGGCUUUCUGGACUGCAACUGACGCUGAGGCAUGAAAGCAUGGG
Molecule: ribosomal RNA, 261 nt
Filed under: uncultured bacterium
Lineage: Bacteria
Description: partial 16S rRNA
Rfam family: Bacterial small subunit ribosomal RNA
Source: RNAcentral